This 513-nucleotide ribosomal RNA is filed under the name uncultured bacterium. RNAcentral's name for it is "partial 16S ribosomal RNA". It matches the Rfam family "Bacterial small subunit ribosomal RNA", at positions 355 to 882 of the family's 1533-position model. The record is from RNAcentral.
UGGGGAAUAUUGCACAAUGGGGGAAACCCUGAUGCAGCAACGCCGCGUGAGUGAUGAAGGCCUUCGGGUUGUAAAGCUCUGUCUUUGGGGAACGAUUAUGACGGUACCCAAGGAGGAAGCCACGGCUAACUACGUGCCAGCAGCCGCGGUAAUACGUAGGUGGCAAGCGUUGUCCGGAUUUACUGGGCGUAAAGGAUGCGUAGGCGGAUAUUUAAGUGAGAUGUGAAAUACCCGGGCUCAACUUGGGUGCUGCAUUUCAAACUGGAUAUCUAGAGUGCAGGAGAGGAAAGUGGAAUUCCUAGUGUAGCGGUGAAAUGCGUAGAGAUUAGGAAGAACAUCAGUGGCGAAGGCGACUUUCUGGACUGUAACUGACGCUGAGGCAUGAAAGCGUGGGGAGCAAACAGGAUUAGAUACCCUUGGUAGUCCACGCCGUAAACGAUGAAUACUAGGUGUGGGAGGGUCCAACCCUUCCCGUGUCGCAGUUAACACAAUAAGUAUUCCGCCUGGGGAGUA